Molecule: long non-coding RNA, 496 nt
Filed under: Homo sapiens (human)
Lineage: Eukaryota; Metazoa; Chordata; Mammalia; Primates; Hominidae
Description: HSALNT0009036
Source: RNAcentral
GGCCCUGUAAGGUGUGCUGCCCUCUUCUUUCUGAGAUCUAAGGAUCUUUCUAGGAAAACUGUAUGGAUUGAAUGGAUUGAAGAAAGAACAAGACUGGAAACAGAAAAAAUAUCUUCUGCCAAAAGUAUUUUGAAAACCAAAGUGAUUUGCCUCUACUUGAAAAAUCAACUUCUAAAUUACACUCAAAAGGUGCCUUGUUGUGAACUGCCCUAUGGAUAGAAACACAUGGUAACUUUGAUGCCUCUGGAUAGCAGCAAGUAUGCACUUAAAGCCUGCCAAAGUCCAUGUGAAGAAGCAUGGAAGUGGAUUAUCUUCCAAACACUCACUGACAUGGCUACAGCCUCACCCGACACUUUUACUGCAGUCUUCUGAGAGAUACUCCCUAAGCCAGGGGAUCCAGCUAAGCCAUUCCAAGAUUCUUGACCUAUAGAAACUGCAGUAUAAUAAAUGUUUGUUUUGCUAAGCCACAAAGUUUUGGGGUGAUGUUUUAUAUAAC